Molecule: non-coding RNA, 353 nt
Organism: Cinara cedri
Lineage: Eukaryota; Metazoa; Arthropoda; Insecta; Hemiptera; Aphididae
Source: the annotation of a GenBank genome assembly
AAUUCCCCUAUCCUCCUAUGAGCACGUAUUGGACCCGUUACACAUGCCCAUUUUAACCGAAAUGAGUAUCGUAAUAUGCAUACAUUAGAACCGGGACCAGGCCAUUAUUACGCUCACAUUAAGCGGACUCAAUUGUAAUUUUUUAUAAUAUACGUACUCAAUUGUAAUUUUUAAUAAUAAACGUACUCUAUGUAAUAUAGUUAUUUGUUAUAUACUGAAUAUAGAAUUUUGUGCAUGCGUAUACGUAUCUAUUGUACUUUUAUAUUUUUUCUGAUCCGUAAUUUUUUUCUCAAGGGUUCUAUGUCAUUGUGUAAUGCUAUUUUUGCAUUAUCUACUUUCCAUUUCCUCGCGAA